This 352-nucleotide ribosomal RNA is filed under the name uncultured bacterium. Its description in RNAcentral is "partial 16S ribosomal RNA". It matches the Rfam family "Bacterial small subunit ribosomal RNA", at positions 527 to 881 of the family's 1533-position model. The record is from RNAcentral.
GGAAGGUCCGGGCGNNAUCCGGAUNUAUNGGGUNUAAAGGGUGCGUAGGCGGUNNGAUAAGUUAGAGGUGAAANCUCGGGGCUCAACCCUGAACGUGCCUCUAAUACUGUUGAGCUAGAGAGUAGUNGCGGUAGGCGGAAUGUAUGGUGUAGCGGUGAAAUGCUUAGAGAUCAUACAGAACACCGAUUGCGAGGGCAGCUUACCAAACUAUAUCUGACGUUGAGGCACGAAAGCGUGGGGAGCAAACAGGAUUAGAUACCCUGGUAGUCCACGCAGUAAACGAUGAUAACUCGUUGUCGGCGAUACACAGUCGGUGACCAAGCGAAAGCGAUAAGUUAUCCACCUGGGGAGU